ACUCCUACGGGAGGCAGCAGUGGGGAAUAUUGCACAAUGGGCGCAAGCCUGAUGCAGCCAUGCCGCGUGUAUGAAGAAGGCCUUCGGGUUGUAAAGUACUUUCAGCAGUGAGGAAGGGUGAUAGUUAAUAGCAUACCUNUUUGACUGUUACUGCAGAAGAAGCACCGGCUAACUCCGUGCCAGCAGCCGCGGUAAUACGGAGGGUGCGAGCGUUAAUCGGAAUUACUGGGCGUAAAGCGCAUGCAGGUGGUUUGUUAAGUCAGAUGUGAAAGCCC
This 275-nucleotide ribosomal RNA is filed under the name uncultured bacterium. RNAcentral's name for it is "partial 16S ribosomal RNA". It matches the Rfam family "Bacterial small subunit ribosomal RNA", at positions 335 to 603 of the family's 1533-position model. The record is from RNAcentral.